UACGUAGGGUGCGAGCGUUGUCCGGAAUUAUUGGGCGUAAAGAGCUCGUAGGCGGUGUGUCACGUCGGCCGUGAAAACCUGCAGCUUAACUGUGGGCGUGCGGUCGAUACGGGCAUCACUGGAGUUCGGCAGGGGAGACUGGAAUUCCUGGUGUAGCGGUGAAAUGCGUAGAUAUCAAGAGGAACACCAGAGGCGAAGGCGGAUUGCUGGGCUGAUACUGACGCUGAGGCGCGAAAGCUAGGGUAGCAAACGGG
RNAcentral lists this ribosomal RNA (254 nucleotides) under uncultured bacterium. Its description in RNAcentral is "partial 16S ribosomal RNA". It matches the Rfam family "Bacterial small subunit ribosomal RNA", at positions 524 to 776 of the family's 1533-position model. The record is from RNAcentral.